ACGCUGGCGGCGUGCCUAAUACAUGCAAGUAGAACGCUGAAGAGAGGAGCUUGCUCUUCUUGGAUGAGUUGCGAACGGGUGAGUAACGCGUAGGUAACCUGCCUCGUAGCGGGGGAUAACUAUUGGAAACGAUAGCUAAUACCGCAUAACAAUGGAUGACACAUGUCAUUUAUUUGAAAGGGGCAAUUGCUCCACUACAAGAUGGACCUGCGUUGUAUUAGCUAGUAGGUGAGGUAACGGCUCACCUAGGCGACGAUACAUAGCCGACCUGAGAGGGUGAUCGGCCACACUGGGACUGAGACACGGCCCAGACUCCUACGGGAGGCAGCAGUAGGGAAUCUUCGGCAAUGGGGGCAACCCUGACCGAGCAACGCCGCGUGAGUGAAGAAGGUUUUCGGAUCGUAAAGCUCUGUUGUAAGUCAAGAAUGAGUGUGAGAGUGGAAAGUUCACACUGUGACGGUAGCUUACCAGAAAGGGACGGCUAACUACGUGCCAGCAGCCGCGGUAAUACGUAGGUCCCGAGCGUUGUCCGGAUUUAUUGGGCGUAAAGCGAGCGCAGGCGGUUAGAUAAGUCUGAAGUUAAAGGCUGUGGCUUAACCAUAGUACGCUUUGGAAACUGUUUAACUUGAGUGCAGAAGGGGAGAGUGGAAUUCCAUGUGUAGCGGUGAAAUGCGUAGAUAUAUGGAGGAACACCGGUGGCGAAAGCGGCUCUCUGGUCUGUAACUGACGCUGAGGCUCGAAAGCGUGGGGAGCGAACAGGAUUAGAUACCCUGGUAGUCCACGCCGUAAACGAUGAGUGCUAGGUGUUGGAUCCUUUCCGGGAUUCAGUGCCGCAGCUAACGCAUUAAGCACUCCGCCUGGGGAGUACGACCGCAAGGUUGAAACUCAAAGGAAUUGACGGGGGCCCGC
RNAcentral lists this ribosomal RNA (909 nucleotides) under uncultured bacterium. RNAcentral's name for it is "bacterial SSU rRNA". It matches the Rfam family "Bacterial small subunit ribosomal RNA", at positions 33 to 924 of the family's 1533-position model. The record is from RNAcentral.